Molecule: ribosomal RNA, 253 nt
Filed under: uncultured Oscillospiraceae bacterium
Lineage: Bacteria; Bacillati; Bacillota; Clostridia; Eubacteriales; Oscillospiraceae
Description: partial 16S ribosomal RNA
Rfam family: Bacterial small subunit ribosomal RNA
Source: RNAcentral
UACGUAGGUGGCAAGCGUUGUCCGGAUUUACUGGGUGUAAAGGGCGUGCAGCCGGAGAGACAAGUCAGAUGUGAAAUCCACGGGCUCAACCCGUGAACUGCAUUUGAAACUGUUUCCCUUGAGUGUCGGAGAGGUAAUCGGAAUUCCUAGUGUAGCGGUGAAAUGCGUAGAUAUUAGGAAGAACACCAAUGGCGAAGGCAGGUCUCUGGGCCGUUACUGACGCUGAGGAGCGAAAGCGUGGGGAGCGAACAGG